CUGCGAUCAUCAUGCUGAUGUGCGACGGAGUCCGUGAUGAUUGCAGAGAGUUUUCAGACGUCCAUCGCACCGCAUGCUUGAUUUCAGGUAUAUGCGGCCCGAAACUGGGAGAGAACGCUGAGCGUUACAAC
This is a regulatory RNA element of Corynebacterium diphtheriae NCTC 13129, 131 nucleotides long. It matches the Rfam family "atpB RNA". The record is from Rfam. Lineage: Bacteria; Bacillati; Actinomycetota; Actinomycetes; Mycobacteriales; Corynebacteriaceae.